AGCGAACGCUGGCGGCAGGCCUAACACAUGCAAGUCGAACGAACUCUUCGGAGUUAGUGGCGGACGGGUGAGUAACACGUGGGAACGUGCCUUUUGGUUCGGAAUAACUCAGUGAAACUUGUGCUAAUACCGAAUGUGCCCUUCGGGGGUAAGAUUUAUCGCCAUUUGAGCGGCCCGCGUCUGAUUAGCUAGUUGGUGAGGUAACCGCUCACCAAGGCGACGAUCAGUAGCUGGUCUGAGAGGAUGACCAGCCACACUGGGACUGAGACACGGCCCAGACUCGGACGGGAGGGAGCAGUGGGGAAUAUUGCGCAAUGGGCGAAAGCCUGACGCAGCCAUGCCGCGUGAAUGAUGAAGGUCUUAGGAUUGUAAAAUUCUUUCACCGGGGACGAGAAUGACGGUACCCGGAGAAGAAGCCCCGGCUAACUUCGUG
Molecule: ribosomal RNA, 433 nt
Filed under: uncultured bacterium
Lineage: Bacteria
Description: partial 16S ribosomal RNA
Rfam family: Bacterial small subunit ribosomal RNA
Source: RNAcentral